This is a long non-coding RNA of Dermochelys coriacea (leatherback sea turtle), 145 nucleotides long. RefSeq lists it as uncharacterized. The transcript has 3 exons. The record is from RefSeq and is a predicted model, not a curated record. NCBI's taxonomy places the organism in Eukaryota, Metazoa, Chordata, Testudines, Dermochelyidae.
AGACCAUGGGUUGUGUCUGUGUUUUUCCAGAAGUGAGAUUGCACAUGAAAGUCAAUACUAAAGAAAGAAGCUGCGUUUUCUAUCUUUGCUGUUCUUUUCUCUUGUGUGUGUUUGUCUUGUUUUGUAUUUAGGAAACCGGUUCAGA